Molecule: ribosomal RNA, 448 nt
Filed under: uncultured microorganism
Description: bacterial SSU rRNA
Rfam family: Bacterial small subunit ribosomal RNA
Source: RNAcentral
GCGCAGCAGUCGCGAAUAGUCUACAAUGGACGAAAGUCUGAUAGUGCGACGCCGUGUGUGCGAUUAAUUCCUUCGGGAUGUAAAGCACUUUUCUAUGAGAUAAAAGCUCUUUAGGUUAAUAGCUUAUUGAGACGGAUAUUAUUAUAGGAAUAAGCUCCGGCUAACUCCGUGCCAGCAGCCGCGGUAAUACGGAAGGAGCGAGCGUUGUCCGGAUUUACUAGGCGUAAAGGGCUAGUAGGCGACUAAUUAAGUUAUAUGUUAAAUCCCACGGCUCAACUGUGGUCCUGCAUGUAAUACUGGUUAGAUAGAGUACUGUAGAGGAAGGCAGAAUUCCUGGAGUAGCGGUGGAAUGCGCAGAUAUCAGGAAGAAUACCAAAAGCGAAGGCAGCCUUCUGGGCAGUUACUGACGCUGAAUAGCGAAGGUGUGGGUAGCGAACAGGGAUUAGAU